Rattus norvegicus (Norway rat) is the source of this 2531-nucleotide non-coding RNA. The record is from RefSeq and is a predicted model, not a curated record. NCBI's taxonomy places the organism in Eukaryota, Metazoa, Chordata, Mammalia, Rodentia, Muridae.
AGAUGAAAAAAAAAACCACACAGGUAAUAUUUUUUAUUUCGAAGGAAAGCAGUAGGCUCUGAGUGCAGAGGAGGAAAGGGGACAGAAAGGGGAGAAAAGGCAUGGUGGUCAGGGCUCUUGGUCUCAUAGCUAGAGAAAAUCAUCAGAAGGUAUUUGUAUAAAUCCAAAGGCUCCCCGGCCAAGCAGAUGUUCAGAGUAUCAUAGCUCCGGGCUUGGAGUUCUUUCGGAUUGUCCCUGGGGAAACGCUACAUCGUCUGAGAAAUAAGAACAGUGAUGUGGAAGGAGCAACUCGUUCUUCUUUGUGCGCAUUCUCUGCUUUUCUUUCUCCUCUGCCCCAAUCCUCUCCUCGCUCCUCUCUCUGGAUUGCCCCCAUAGGCCUCCUUGCCACUUGCCCACUCCUUCGGAAGAGAUCUGAGGCUCUCGUCCAUUUCUUUGUGAUUCCUGAAGCCUUCGUGGACUUUUGCCUUCCAACCUGGGCUUGUUAUCUCUUACUGGUUAGCAGGGAUUGGCGUCCAGUAAAUCCCAGCAGCCGUUCUCUUUAGCCUGUUCAUCGUAUUUGUACGUGGUUUUCCUGAGUUGAUAAACCCGCGGCUGUUUUUCUCUUCAAGUUCCCCCUUCAGUUUCUGUGCUAAUGAACAACUUCCUGCCUUGAGGCUCUGGUAAGUGCAAUGAAGGCACCGGGAGUGCAGAGUUUAGCCAGGGCCUUACGAGACCUUAACCCAGCAUUGUGUGCCCGUUGGGUGACUCUCCUUUUUGGACUUGGACGAAAGACUUAUUAAUACUUAAGAGUAUCAGCUUUUUCCUCAUAUGAAGACUGUAUAGCCACAGGAGGCUCAGCUGCCAUCAAGGUUGGCAGUUGUUCCUUCCAAAGUCCUCUCUGAUGCCUGAUUCUCAUUGGGCCAACCCUACGACUGCUCGCUUUGUGACACAGCACUAAGAAUUCUGUCUGUGCAUUCUCCUCAGUCUCCUAGUCUAACAAUAGCAGACUCAGUGAAUAUCUUGUAACAGGUUAGUGUUCUAUUAGUUUUACAAGCUUUCUGGGAUUCUGUUGUUUGUUUGAUAGAUUUUUUUUUUAAGUCCAGUUUGGGGAUGAUGUUUUCUCUGCUUAUUUCAAACUUCUGAUUAGUUGCCUUAACCUCAAUUUCUUUCUACUUGUAUUGAUGGCUUAAAAUUAUUCACCUUCCCCCACUGUCCCUCUGUCCUGUACAGUGAGUCAGAUCGCAUGCCCUCCCCCAUCCCCGGCUCUAUCUAAGUGGUCCAAUUUUCUGGUUUUUACUGGAAGUCAGAUCAAAACUACUUUUCCCCCCUUGAGAUCUAACUCUAACCCUCUGGGAGAUGUAAGUGUGAUAGAGUCUUAUUAUUAAUUUGUCCCACAGGUAGGCUUUGAUUUAUUUUCCCCUUUCCUUAACAUUUCGUUAUUCUUUCAAACCUAUUCUAUCUAGCAAUUGAUGUCCCCACCUGUGUGCACUACUCCUAGUACUUGAAGUUAAUAGCAAAAUCUAGUUCAUCUUAUUUCACAUGCAACGUCAAUUCCCAAUUCUCAAUAACAGGAAAUUCAACAUCAAACACCCAUGUACAAACUUUAAAUCAGCCUGAAAAUCUACAUGGAUGGCCAUCUUAAGGAAGUUCCUCUCAUUUCCCACUCAUUGAAUAAUUCUUUAAAAUGAUCAAUUUCCCAAGACUCUAGCUGACUUGUUUGGCAUAAACAAUUACCUGCGUGGAUGGAGGAUAGUUUCUCUAAACCAUCAAACCAAUACAUUAUCAAGUACAUCUGGAUGCUGGUCAACAGACUGACUUAGAUACACAAUACAAGGACAACUGGCUUUCCAUUCCAGAGAUGAUGCAGAUUUUUCUGCUUUUGCAAGAUUAAACAGAAAUAUGAACUUCUGCCGCAACCUCAAAGGUUUGCAGACAAGCAGGUGCGGGGACCUCGCUGAUCUUGCUCUAAGUCGAAAGGAGGAGUAGAAAUUGUGCCAUAAACAAUUCUCUAUUGUUUGCAUUUCCACACAACCACUGUCGUUGGAACACAGAAUGCAGAAAGUAAAAGCAUCUCAGAAUUCCUGUAAGGUUUAUAAGCCCCUCUGUUAGGCUUUGUCCUUUUGUGCGGAGUUUCCUUUAUCACAGUCACUAUCAUUUUCUCAAUGUAAUGAUUACCUUUGAAGAAGUUGGUGGUGUGUGUGUGGGAAGAGCUGAACUUUGAAGUCCCAUAGCUUGAGACACCAAGGUGGAUUUCAUAGCUUCUGGAUAGAGCAUCGGUGAACAUUGAUGUAUCUUUGUGACAACUAAACUUGGAGUAUUUUAGGUUAAUAUCCAGGAAUGAUAUAACUGGUUAAUAUGGCGAACCAUCUAGCUUCGUGAGUUUUGCUGUCAACAACUAGAGGGUACACGAAUCUCUCGGUAAUUACAGAGCUAGCCUCCUGAACGACUUCCAUGAUUAAAAAAUUUCAUCAUCAAAGGUACCCUAAGAAGCAAGAAGUUCAGCUAUAUGGUGGAUCAAGACAAUUAUUAAACUCAGGAAAGAAUGAAAUUAA